AACGAACGCUGACGGCGUGCCUAACACAUGCAAGUCGAACGAGAAAGUCCCGGCUUGCCGGGAUGAGUAGAGUGGCGCACGGGUGAGUAACGCGUGGGUAAUCUGCCUUUAAGUUUGGGAUAACACUGCGAAAGCGGUACUAAUACCGGAUAUGCUCACAGUUUGAGAUGUCUGUGGGAAAAGGUGGCCUCUGACAUAAGCUACCGCUUAAAGAUGAGCCCGCGUACCAUUAGCUUGUUGGUGGGGUAAAAGCCUACCAAGGCUACGAUGGUUAGCUGGCCUGAGAGGGCGGCCAGCCACACUGGAACUGAGACACGGUCCAGACUCCUACGGGAGGCAGCAGUGGGGAAUAUUGCGCAAUGGGGGAAACCCUGACGCAGCGACGCCGUGUGAGUGAUGAAGGCUUUCGGGUCGUAAAGCUCUGUCGGAUGGGACGAAUAAGGACUGUGUGAAUAAUGCAGUCCGAUGACGGUACCGUCGAAGGAAGCACCGGCUAACUCCGUGCCAGCAGCCGCGGUAAUACGGAGGGUGCAAGCGUUGUUCGGAAUUAUUGGGCGUAAAGAACGUGUAGGCGGGCCUGUGUGUCAGAUGUGAAAGCCCUCGGCUCAACCGAGGAAGUGCAUCUGAAACUGCUGGUCUUGAGUACGAGAGAGGAGAGUGGAAUUCCCAGUGUAGAGGUGAAAUUCAUAGAUAUUGGGAAGAACACCGGCGGCGAAAGCGGCUCUCUGGCUCGAUACUGACGCUGAGACGUGAAAGCGUGGGUAGCAAACAGGAUUAGAUACCCUGGUAGUCCACGCCGUAAACGAUGUGCACUAGGUGUUGGGGGUAAUAAAACCCUCAGUGCCGCAGCUAACGCAUUAAGUGCACCGCCUGGGGAUUACGGUCGCAAGAUUAAAACUCAAAGGAAUUGACGGGGGCCCGCACAAGCGGUGGAGUAUGUGGUUUAAUUCGACGCAACGCGCAUAACCUUACCUGGGCUUGACAUCCCGAUCGUACUUCCUGGAAACAGGAGGGUCAGCUCGGCUGGAUCGGUGACAGGUGCUGCAUGGCUGUCGUCAGCUCGUGUCGUGAGAU
This 1074-nucleotide ribosomal RNA is filed under the name uncultured bacterium. RNAcentral's name for it is "bacterial SSU rRNA". It matches the Rfam family "Bacterial small subunit ribosomal RNA", at positions 28 to 1073 of the family's 1533-position model. The record is from RNAcentral.